This 74-nucleotide transfer RNA is filed under the name Ailuropoda melanoleuca (giant panda). It matches the Rfam family "tRNA". Rfam says of the family: Transfer RNA (tRNA) molecules are approximately 80 nucleotides in length. Their secondary structure includes four short double-helical elements and three loops (D, anti-codon, and T loops). Further hydrogen bonds mediate the characteristic L-shaped molecular structure. tRNAs have two regions of fundamental functional importance: the anti-codon, which is responsible for specific mRNA codon recognition, and the 3' end, to which the tRNAs corresponding amino acid is attached (by aminoacyl-tRNA synthetases). tRNAs cope with the degeneracy of the genetic code in two manners: having more than one tRNA (with a specific anti-codon) for a particular amino acid; and 'wobble' base-pairing, i.e. permitting non-standard base-pairing at the 3rd anti-codon position. The record is from Rfam by way of RNAcentral. Lineage: Eukaryota; Metazoa; Chordata; Mammalia; Carnivora; Ursidae.
GCCUGGCUGGCUCAGUCAGUAGAGCAUUCGGACUCUUAAUCUCAGGGUCGUGAGUUCAAGCCCCACGUUAGACG